GAUGAACGCUGGCGGCGUGCCUAAUACAUGCAAGUCGAGCGAACGGACGAGAAGCCUGCUUCUCUGAUGUUAGCGGCGGACGGGUGAGUAACACGUGGAUAACCUACCUAUAAGACUGGGAUAACUUCGGGAAACCGGAGCUAAUACCGGAUAAUAUUUUGAACCGCAUGGUUCAAAAGUGAAAGACGGUCUUGCUGUCACUUAUAGAUGGAUCCGCGCUGCAUUAGCUAGUUGGUAAGGUAACGGCUUACCAAGGCAACGAUGCAUAGCCGACCUGAGAGGGUGAUCGGCCACACUGGAACUGAGACACGGUCCAGACUCCUACGGGAGGCAGCAGUAGGGAAUCUUCCGCAAUGGGCGAAAGCCUGACGGAGCAACGCCGCGUGAGUGAUGAAGGUCUUCGGAUCGUAAAACUCUGUUAUUAAGGAAGAACAUAUGUGUAAGUAACUGUGCACAUCUUGACGGUACCUAAUCAGAAAGCCACGGCUAACUACGUG
Molecule: ribosomal RNA, 497 nt
Filed under: uncultured bacterium
Lineage: Bacteria
Description: partial 16S ribosomal RNA
Rfam family: Bacterial small subunit ribosomal RNA
Source: RNAcentral